UGAGGCGGGAGUAGAUGUGACUUAGUGUCAAGCAUAGCCAUGAUGUUAGCAACAUUGCUCUUGUGAGGUCAGAUGGAACCUUUCAGGGAUCACAAUACUAAGAUAUCAGCCAAGGAGAGAAAGUUCAUCCAAGGUCUGCUAUGGAAGCUAAACUGAGAGGGGGAAAGAACAUGAAGUUUGUACCCCAGAAGAGGUGUCAGUUUUUGUUGAGAAGCAUUUUCUGGGACUGGAGAUGUCUCUGCAGAAGUGUUUGCUGCUAUUCCAGAGUACCUGAGUUUGGAACCCAGCACUCACAUCACUAGGCUCUUGAUGCCCUCUACUGGACUUCAUAAGCACCUGCACACACAUGGUGCACAACCUUACACACAUAUACACAUAAUGACAAAUAGAUGAUGGUGCUGUUUUGCAAGGUUGUGGAAUCUUUUUUUUUGUUUGUUUGUUUGUUUUUUGGUUCUUUUUUUCAGAGCUGGGGACCAAACCCAGGGCCUUGCGCUUCCUAGAUGUCAUGCAAGCGAUCUUCUCUAGCCCUACUUCCUAUGGGCUUUCUGCUUCCUGGCUGAGGAUGCCAUAAGCCUGGCACACCAGGAUGGACGCACCUAUAACUCACAGAGACAUUGGCAGCUCAUACGAGACCUGUACAAGUUCAAGCCAGCCCAGGUCCCAGCAGUAAGAGAGGGUGGAACCCAGCUCCUAGGGAAUGUCUGAAGCCUUUUGAAACCUCAGAGCCCUACCCUAGUAAUCCUCCAAUAAGGCCAACCUCCAGCCUCUGCUGCUGCCACCAUGCCUUCCUUGCUGAAAUUGUAAGCCUAGCAUUAAACGCCAUUCCAUAUCAUCUCAGUUAACCCUAUCUAGAAACUCACUAGAUAAAAAUACCAAUAACCCAGACAACUUACAAACACACAAAAGAAGUUUGAGAAGUUACAGUUUCAGAGGGUCAGAGUCCAUGACCUCAGGAAAGCCAAGAGCUCUUACCUUGAUCCACAAGCAGCAGAGAGCACACUGGGAAUGACAAAGCCUUUUGAAACUUCCAAGCCCACCCCUAGUAACAGAUCUCUUGCAAGAAGGCCACACAUCCUAAUUGUUCCCAAACAGUUCCACCAGCUGGGGACCCCAAGGGGCCAUUGUCAUUCAAACCACCACGUGAGGUCCUGAGAAUGAACUUGUUAGAUUAUGCAUUCGGAGGACUGAUAAUUCUACAAUGGCCAUUUGUAGGCUGGAGAACUGAGGAAACAGUAGAUAUUUUCAGUUCAAGAAACUGAAGGCUCAGGAUAUGAGGGACCAGUGAUGCAGCCUCCAUGAGAGUCGCUAGUACAAGUUUGCAUCACUCAAAGGCUGAUGAAGCAAGAAUUUGAUGCUCAAAUUGCAAACACUGGCAGAAGAAAACAUAUUUGCCCGGGGGAGCCUGGGAGCUGCUUCUUUCUUUAGUUUUCUGUUUCAUCCGAGUGCAAUCUGCCACUGCCCUGAUUUAAGGAUGUGCUUACAUGCCUCCAUUUACUGACCCACAGCUGUCUCUGGAAACACCCCCACAGUCACAGAGGAGACAGCAAUUGAUUACACUCGAGGCAUCUUUCAAUGGUUUGGCGAGCCAAAAACCAAGAUUCACCAUCACACCAUGGUUAGACAUUUAAAAACAAGCUCAUCGUUUCUCUGGUGGUGAUGAAGAUGGCUAUAUACCUAUGGUAGGACAGCAUCUUCUCACUUGGUUGCCCAAGCUAGCCUUGAAUUCGCUAUCCUCCCUUCUGAACUGUCAAAGUAACUGGUCUUCCAGUCAUGUGACAUAUGGACACAGAAUAACCACAUUUACCUAUAUCCUUUCCUUUUGGAGAUUGUGCAGGUCCACCUAUCCAUCCAGCCUACCAGUUAUCCAUCCAGCAGGUCAUCCUGACCAGUUUUUGUAGGCAAUAGAUAACAGUGAGUUAAAGUCUUGUGGGACUUCUAUGUGGGUGGGAGAAGCAGAAAUAGGUAAUAAAAUAGCGGUCAGGGGUGCUACAGAGGAGAAAAAAGGAACGGAAGACCGUGAGGUGAGCAGAGGAACCUGAAACGGUGGUGAAAGGAGGGCAGUUGAGCCCCGAGAGGAAAGGAUGAAGAAGUGUGAGGACUGAGCGUCUGUCUGCCAGAAAAGCAAAUGCAACGGACCCGAGGCCAGAGGUUGACCAAGAGACUGAAGCCACUGGAGAAUGCUAAAAAGAUAGCUAUGGAUAUUCCAUUCUGGAAUUGUGUGGCGAAAACCGCGCAAGUGUAGAGCAAGCUUUCCAAGGAAAAAAGCCGGCAGGAGGGAACCCAAGGCAACGGAUUCAUUAAAACUCCACACCAACGUUGGCACCAAGCGUCAAAAGCUACGUCCCAGGUGGACUGCUCCAGCAAGGAGUCUGUUCUCCCGCAACUGCUUUCUACUCAUAGACCUUACACAGAGGAGAAGCCUUUUGCAUCUUGUAAUUUAAUGAGCUGCCUGGGAGGGAUGGCUCCUCCCCCCAGGCGUGAAUGAAAAGGUACAGGAGGCCAUUUAGGAUUAAACAGAAAGUUGUUGCAAUACA
Non-coding RNA from Rattus norvegicus (Norway rat), 2534 nucleotides. The record is from RefSeq and is a predicted model, not a curated record. NCBI's taxonomy places the organism in Eukaryota, Metazoa, Chordata, Mammalia, Rodentia, Muridae.